RNAcentral lists this ribosomal RNA (243 nucleotides) under uncultured Actinomycetales bacterium. Its description in RNAcentral is "partial 16S ribosomal RNA". It matches the Rfam family "Bacterial small subunit ribosomal RNA", at positions 88 to 334 of the family's 1533-position model. The record is from RNAcentral. Lineage: Bacteria; Bacillati; Actinomycetota; Actinomycetes; Actinomycetales.
UACUCGAGUGGCGAACGGGUGAGUAACACGUGGGUGAUCUGCCCUGCACUUCGGGAUAAGCCUGGGAAACUGGGUCUAAUACCGGAUAGGAGCCAUUUUUAGUGUGAUGGUUGGAAAGUUUUUUCGGUGUAGGAUGAGCUCGCGGCCUAUCAGCUUGUUGGUGGGGUAAUGGCCUACCAAGGCGGCGACGGGUAGCCGGCCUGAGAGGGUGGACGGCCACAUUGGGACUGAUAUACGGCCCAG